ACGGGGUGCAGCAGGCGCGAAAACUUUACAAUGCUGGAAACAGCGAUAAGGGAGCCUCGAGUGCCGAGAUACAAUCUCGGCUGUCUAGCUGCCUAAAAAGCAGUUGAUAGCAAGGGCCGGGCAAGACCGGUGCCAGCCGCCGCGGUAACACCGGCGGCUCGAGUGGUAACCGUUAUUAUUGGGUUUAAAGGGUCUGUAGCCGGCCGGAUAAGUCUCUUGGGAAAUCUGGCAGCUCAACUGUCAGGCUUUCAGGAGAUACUGUUCGGCUCGAGACCGGGAGAGGUGAGAGGUACUUCAGGGGUAGGGGUGAAAUCUUGUAAUCCUUGAAGGACCACCAGUGGCGAAGGCGUCUCACCAGAACGGAUCUGACGGCAAGGGACGAAAGCUGGGGCAGCGAACCGGAUUAGAUACCCGGGUAGUCCCAGCUGUAAACGAUGCUAGCUAGGUGUUGGGUCGGCCACGCGCCGCCCCAGUGCCGCAGGGAAGCCGUUAAGCUAGCCGCCUGGGGAGUACGGCCGCAAGGCUGAAACUUAAAGGAAUUGGCGGGGGAGCAC
Molecule: ribosomal RNA, 554 nt
Filed under: uncultured euryarchaeote
Lineage: Archaea; Methanobacteriati; Methanobacteriota
Description: bacterial SSU rRNA
Rfam family: Archaeal small subunit ribosomal RNA
Source: RNAcentral